Molecule: small RNA, 69 nt
Filed under: Acididesulfobacillus acetoxydans
Lineage: Bacteria; Bacillati; Bacillota; Clostridia; Eubacteriales; Peptococcaceae
Description: Peptococcaceae bacterium INE non-coding RNA
Source: RNAcentral
GUUUCAAUUCCUCAUAGGCAGGCUAUCGGCGAGGGAAGUUUUAAACUAUUUGGAUUAGUGGUUAACAGG